AUUGAACGCUGGCGGCAGGCCUAACACAUGCAAGUCGAGCGGAGCGGCGGACGGGUGAGUAAUGCCUAGGAAUCUGCCUGGUAGUGGGGGAUAGCGUCCGGAAACGGGCGCUAAUCCCGCAUCCUAUCAGAUGCGCCUAGGUCGGAUUAGCUAGUUGGGGGGGUAAAGGCCCACCAAGGGGACGAUCCGUAGCUGGUCUGAGAGGAUGAUCAGGCACACGGGAACGGGUACACGGUCCAGACUCCUACGGGAGGCAGCAGUGGGGAAUAUUGGACAAUGGGCGAAAGCCUGAUCCAGCCAUGCCGCGUGUGUGAAGAGGGUCUUCGGAUGGGAAAGCACUUUAAGUUGGGAGGCGUUACCAACAGAAUAAGCACCGGCUAACUUCGUGCCAGCAGCCGCGGUAAUAC
Molecule: ribosomal RNA, 407 nt
Filed under: uncultured bacterium
Lineage: Bacteria
Description: partial 16S ribosomal RNA
Rfam family: Bacterial small subunit ribosomal RNA
Source: RNAcentral